CUCGGAUCCGGUGCGCGCGUGCGCGCUCGCGCUUAGGCCGGCGGCGACGCUUCUUCGAGAACUUGGGGGGCCGAGAAACACGAGCCCGAGAUGGCGCUCCCCACGCUGCCCUCUUACUGGUGCAGCGGGAGACCCCAGGACCAGCAGGUCGCACGCCAGCGCCAGCGAGAGCAGGAGGCCCAGCUUCGCCUGCAGUGGGAAGAGAACAGCCGUUAUUUCAGGAUUUCGGACAUCCACAGCUCCAAACAGGCCGAAUGGAGCUCCGAGACCUCCUAUCGGCGGAGCAUGCAUGCGUACCAGCGUGAGAAGCUGAGGGAGGAGAAGAGGAUGAGUCUGGAGGUCCGGCGUGAGAGACUCAGGCAGCUGGUGCUGGAGGAGCAGGACCUGCUGGCCGCUGAGCUGGAGGAGCUGAGGCUGAGCAUGAGCCUGCGGGAGCGAAGAAUCCGGGAACAGCACCGGGAUCUGAAGUCAGCCCGAGAGGAACAAAGGAAACUGAUUGCUGAACAACUCUUAUAUGAACACUGGAAAAAAAACAAUCCCAAACUUCGAGAGAUUGAGUUGGACCUUCACAAGAAGCACGUGAUAGAUUCCUGGGCAACACAGAAAGAAGAAAAAAAACAGCAAGAAGCCACGGAGCAGCAGGAGAAGAAGCGGUUUGAAAAUGAGUAUGAAGCAGCGCGCAGGGAGGCGAUGGAGCGGCUGAGAGCGGAGGCGGAGCGGAGGCAGCAGGAAGAUAAACUGCAGGCCGAGGCGCUGUGCCAGCAGAUGGAGGAGCUCAAGCAGAAGGAGAUGGAGGCAACCAAGCUGAAGAAGGAACAGGAGAACCUGCUGAAGCAGCGCUGGGAGCUGGAGAAGCUGGAGGAGGAGAGGAAGCAGAUGGCCGCCCUCCGGCGCAAGGCCGAGCUGGGGCGCUUCCUGAGACAUCAGUACAAUGCGCAGCUGCACAGGCGGACCCAGCAGAUCCAGGAGGAACUGGAGGCAGACGGGCGGAUCCUGCAGGCGCUCCUGGAGAAGGAAGGCGAGCUGCAGCGUGUCGAGCUGGCCAGGCGGGAGCAGGCCCUGGCCGAUGCAGCCUGGAUGAAGCAGGUCAUCGAGGAGCAGCUGCAGCUCGAGAAAGCUCGGGAGGCAGAGCUGCAGCUGCUGCUGAGGGAGGAGGCCAAGGAGAUGUGGGAAAGGAGAGAAGCGGAGUGGGCUCGAGAGCAGAGUGCGAGGGACAGACUGAUGAAUGAGGUUCUCAUGGGGAGGCAGCAGCAGAUACAAGAAAAGAUCGAACAGAACCGGAGGGCACAAGAGGAAACCCUAAAACACAGGGAAAGACUCAUCCAGAGUCUGGAGGAGGCAAAGCAGUCAGCUCAGCGUGCAAAGGAGGAGAAAGAGGAGCUGAAGUCAGCCAGGAAGCAGGAGCUGGAAGCCCAGGUCGCGGAGCGCCAGCUCCAGGCGUGGGAAGCAGCCCAGCAGGCGGAGGCGGAAGAGGAGGAGGUCCAGCGGGCAGAUCAGCUCUCGGAUGCCCUGUUGCAGCAGGAGGCGAAGGCCAUGGCUGAGGAGGGCUACCGGCCCAAGGCUUUGCAAAGACGGAGAGCCUGACUGCUGAUGUUGCCCCUGAAGAAUGAAGGCCAUAGCUAGUGAGAAGUGACCGUGGGACCAGGUGGAGCCAGCCUUAUGGACACCCCAGAAUUGCCUGGGACUGACGUUGAGCACAGAGGAGCAUGCCGGACUUGAUAGACAGCUCCAGACAUCUGCACAGUGCUUGUUCUGGCCAGGGCUCAGGGCAGGACAUCGUGGUCCAGCGGGAUGUGAAGAUGCCAUAGGUGCCCGGUGAGAUGCCAUAGGCGCCCGGUGAGAGCCCUCCCUGCCUUCCUCACCCAGACCCACGUUUGCAGCACUGUCCAGAGGUCGUCCAUGCUUUCUACAUAGACUUCAGAGCUACCGAGAACAAGUUGUAUUCCCGGCACAGGAUAUGUAGGUUCCCUGUACAUGUCAGCUCUAGGGAGGACCAGUCACAGAGAGGAGGGACCUUUCGGGUUUUAAAGUUGCCAUUUAAUAAGUUAUUCUAUUGAAGGCAGACUCGCAGGGUCUUGGUGUAGUUAUUUCAGGUCAUUAGCUGCGUAGCCCCAAAGGAAGAGCCCGGCAGUCUGGGCUUCAUCUGCCGUGCGUUCUGCAAAGACCCGGCAAAGGAGCUUCUUGUUCUGCAGUGUUGUGAGAAUUCCCAUGGGGGGCCGGGGCGUAGUUCAGUGUGGAACGCUUCCCUAGCACCUGUCUGGUCCUCAUCCCAGCCCCAGCCCCACUAAGAAGAAAAGAAGCCCAGAGCAUUAGAACACAUGUCGUCAAGGGCACCUGGCUGGCUAGCCUGGUAAAGGCAGGGGCGUGACUAGGACCUCCAGAGUCCAGGGCAGGCCUGUGUGCAGCCCUGUGGGAAUUAUGUGCCCAGAGGAGCAUGCGACCCUGGAGAAAUGGAAUCAAUCACAGCUGACCCCAUUUCCCCCACUGUUGGGUCCCAUGUGACAGGCCCGACUCACCUCUGCCCACAGCUGUGGCUCCUUGCAGCAACAGUUGUUAGGUUUAUGACUUGUACUUUCCCACGCCCUUCCUCUGGGGUUCCGCACCUCAGUAAACUCCAGCCAGUUGUAGGGUCUCGUCUCUGGUUAUGGAAACCCAGAGCUUAUGAAACAGCCCAGGUCUGUGGGCCGCGUCCCUUUCCUCCUCCACUGUGGAACCCCAGCCCAGCCUCUUCACUUCCCACUGGAGCUCUCGGAUGUGGUCCCCGAGCAGCAUUUCCAUUAGGCACUUUUCAGAUGCUCACUAAUGUGAAAGAAAGCUCAGGCUGUCACUGCUGCCGGUGGGUGCUGGGCAGGUUGAUGCGUACAGCCCACAUCACGGGUCUUCCACUGGUCACAUCGCACAGGCUACUCUCACUUUUCUUGUGAACAUGGUACUCUCUCCCCUCCUGUUUUUCAAGACAGGGUUUCUCUGUGUAGCCCUGGCUGUCCUGGAACUCUUUGUAGUCCAGUCUGGCCUCGAACUCAGAGAUCCACCUGCCUUUGCCUCCCGAGUGCUGGCAUUAAAGGUGUGCGGCACUCUGCCCACAUGGCUUUUCCCUCUUAUUUCUCCCGGAACCACAGAAAAUCACUAGUGGUUGCACACUGCUCCAGGGCAGAACCCGGUGGACAGACACUGCACACAGGUAUCGAAGGUUUACUGGACAAGCAUUGUUUUUCUGGCAUUAAAAUGAUGUCCCACUAGUU
RNA transcript from Peromyscus leucopus (white-footed mouse), 3242 nucleotides. It is a transcript of the gene named trichoplein keratin filament binding, with no coding region annotated. NCBI's taxonomy places the organism in Eukaryota, Metazoa, Chordata, Mammalia, Rodentia, Cricetidae. The record is from RefSeq and is a predicted model, not a curated record. The transcript has 14 exons.